This is a transfer RNA of Strigamia maritima, 71 nucleotides long. It matches the Rfam family "tRNA". Rfam says of the family: Transfer RNA (tRNA) molecules are approximately 80 nucleotides in length. The record is from Rfam. Lineage: Eukaryota; Metazoa; Arthropoda; Chilopoda; Geophilomorpha; Linotaeniidae.
UUCCAGGUAGCUUAAUGGUAAAGCACCCAACCUGCAAUUGGGGGAUCUGGGUUCAAGUCCCGGUCCGGGCU